Molecule: ribosomal RNA, 371 nt
Filed under: uncultured organism
Description: bacterial SSU rRNA
Rfam family: Bacterial small subunit ribosomal RNA
Source: RNAcentral
CAUGUGGGGCAAGCGUUGUUCGGAAUUACUGGGCAUAAAGGGUGCGUAGGCGGCUUGUUAAGUCAGGGGUGAAAGUUUUCGGCCCAACCGGAAAAUUGCCUUUGAUACUGGCGAGCUCGAGUGCGUGAGGGGUAACCGGAACGAGCAGUGUAGCGGUGAAAUGCGUAGAUAUUGCUCGGAAGGCCAACGGCGAAGGCAGGUUACUGGUACGCAACUGACGCUGAGGCACGAAAGCGUGGGGAGCAAACAGGAUUAGAUACCCUGGUAGUCCACGCCGUAAACGAUGAGCACUAGGUAGGUGCCGAGCUAUUCGGUGCCUGCCGCAGGUAAUUUGGUAAGUGCUCCGCCUGGGGAGUAUGGUCGCAAGGCUG